GUUCCUGUAAGAAAGCAACAGAUCAAUACGUGCAGGGCCGAAUCUCACAUCAGUAAAUGAAAAAACAUGCAACAGCCAUUGCUUCCUGAAUGGUUGGAAGUCAUACCUCCCAUCCUCAGCUAUCACUUAGGAAACAUGGGUCCUAAAAGGAUUAACAAAAGAGUAACACACUGUGAAACCUGUGAAAUGAUGCUGUGAGCAGCCCUCAGUAGAAUGUACUAAGAUCUUUUCAAAGGAUGAGUAAAGCGUGUGAGGAUGUAUUGAUUGAGGCAGUAAUGGAUGUCAGGCAGACACGGAGCUGUGUCAGCCCUGGGAGCAUCUGUGCUGCAGCCCUGCAGGCAGGAAGGGUCCAGGGAUGCUUUGUGCAUCACCUGCAGCCCUGAGCUGUGUGAGAGACAAGGGCAGAGCAGCCAGAGCCAAAUGCCAGAGGAAAUGCCUCUCUCAGUGCCCCUAACAGCCCUGGCUCCCUCAGCCUCUGGACAUUACAGGCUCUGCCCCAUCUCACCCACGGACUCGAGAAUGUGGCAGAGGAAGGGUUUGGUGUGGCCAUGCAGAUGCCAAAUCUCAGUCCUGUCACUGCACCACGGAGCAGCCAGAUGUUUGCUGGCCUCCCCUGCAAGGGCAGCCAGCUGCAGGGCAGCUGCCCUGGUGCUUGCAGUGCCCUACAGAGGCGUGAAAGGAAGGAGGAAAAACUCUGCUGGUAUAAUGAUCGUAAUUCUGAUUUUAAAAUAUCACAGGAAAUUAAAUGUCUCAGGAGCUCAAGAUAUUCUUAUGUAGCUUCUAAAGUAUUCUCAUGUGAGAAAAGGACGGUAUUAGAAAAAAAAGAAACCCACCAUUCUGCAUUUUCUGCACAUCUUUUGCCAUUUUGUCUUUACAAGAGAAAGAAAAAAGCUCCCAUUCUCUGACUGGCAAUUGCUUCAACAAAGAAUGUGAAGCAAGCAAUUUUCUUCUUUUUUUUCCUUUAAGCUAAUUGGUUGUUAUUUAGUUAAUUGACAAUUGGUUUCAGUUGCUGUCAAAUAGGGACAGUCAUUGCAUUUUUGUAAGAUUUCUGCAUAAAAGCCUUCCCUCACUGUUCCCUGCCCAGCACCAGCCAUGGCAACAAAGGCUGUUGCAAGGGUAUCAUCCAAUUAGCAGCAAAAUGGAAAACUCCAGUGCUCCCACGGGCAGAUUAUGGUUUAUGUACAGAAAUUUGGAGCUGUUUGGGUACAAAAGGCCUGUCUGUACACAGCAGCAGAGGGUCAGACUGCCAACAGAACCCCAACAUUUCCUCUGAGCCCUCAGGAGCAGGGUAACCUCAAAAUGAGCAGCCCAGAGUCCCUGACAGGAGGGACAGGAGGGAGGACAGGGAACCUCCUCACUCCUGGUUUUCCCUCUGCUCUCCUGGGAGUGCUGUGCUCCUCUGAGCCUGCAGCCCAGCCCGUGCAGAGAUGGAAAUAAUUCUUUCUGUGAAACAGCAUUUCCAUCUCUGCUUACCUCAAAAGUCCCUGAUGAUGGCACCUAAAUGACAAAAAUCUGCAGGCUCUCAAGCCCCUCACACAUCCACCCUUAACACUGAAUGAAGGAAUAAAGAAAUAAAAGGGAAAAUCCUGCACAUAAAAGUGCCGGAUUCACCCUAGUCGUGACUCAGGCACACUUAAGUAAGCAGGAAGAUGAACUGUCAGGGGCUGCUUCUCUUCUUGGUUUUGAGCUGAUCAGCUAAACUACUGAAAGGUUCCUUCAUUAACAAAUUCAUGAAUAUGUGAAAAAAAAGAAAAAAAAAUAAUUUGGUGUGUGAUAACAUAGUAAAAAGGCCUCAUGGCAUUUAUUAUACACUUAGAGUAGCUGUAUUUCCAGGCAGCUGCCUAGAAUAUAUCUAAAAUAAUUCAGGCUGCAUUACAGAAUGCCAAGCCUGAAAGCUAAAAUAUCACAAAAGCCAAUCUGGAAUUCUUCCUGCUCUAUUUCUGCAGAAGACAUAUCUGAAGCCAAAACCCCUCCAAAUGAUCAGCCAUCACACCCAGCUACCCUGCAGGACUGCAUGUUAAUUAUUCCAUGCUCCACAUGGCUCUGGAGCAGGAAUUCAGACAGAGAGGGGAGGCUGUGUGUGAGGAAGUGCUCAGAGCCCCUCGCUGGGAUGGGCACAGGGGCAGGAGGAUGUUUGCUCUCUGCCAUUUAUUGCACUCUGAAUUUGCACUCUGAAUUUGCACACCAGGGGCCACCACCAAAUUGUUCCACUGAUGAGGCCAGGACUGGGAUUGUUAAGGUUUCUUUCGCCACAGGUCAAAUAUCCUGCAGCAGUUUAUUAGAACAAUCACAGAUUUUGUUCAGAUGGACUUAGUGCUAGAAGCCUGAGCAAACAGCAAGAAAAGAAAAUUUAACUUUGAGAAGUAUUUAAGAAAAGUAUUGUGUACUUGGGAGACUUGAAAGAUGUUCUUAUAUAUUGAGCAUGUAAUUAUAUUCCUUGUGAUCAAUGACUAUGUCUGUGUACAGGAUUUAUCCUUUAUUUUCUCCACUUAAUGAAAAUUGGAUUUUUUUCCCUCCAUAUCCCAAUUUCUUUCAGAACUAUAAUGUAGCCCAGGAUUCCAUUUUAUAAUCAUGAAUUUUUGAAGGAGCCUCGUUAAGGCUCCAGAGUAGUGAUUUUCUGCACCAGCGAGCCUGCCUUUUUUUAUUAACAGAGAUUGAUUUUCUCAUCUUGGCAUGCGAAGUUCCAGGGUGCAUCCUCUGGACCAUCACCCUGUGAUGUGCAGUGGUAUCAGCAGCACAGGAUGGGAAUACUUCAGCUUCAUGGCAUCAGGAAUUACAGCUUUCAGAUGCCCAGUGUGAGGAUCUGGAGAAGCUGGGGUUUCCUGAGCCCCCAGAAGCCAUUUGCUGCAGCAGUGGAAAUGACAAUUACAUUUGUGUCAGAUCUGGCACCUCUCCAGGCAGGUUCCAACCCUGGGCUGGGGCUGUGCCCGUGUGUCCCGUUCUGACCGUCCUGGGGAUGCCAGCACAGCUCUGCCCUGUGUGCACAGCUGGUCCUGGGGGCUCUGGGCCAGGGCUGUCACUGUCCCCAGCCUGGCAGCCGCCAAAGGCACUUUUCCAGAACAAACCUGGGGCUUUGCGGGGCUGGAGCAGCCCAGGGGCAGCACCCCUGGCCACGCCUUGGCUGCAGGUGGCCCAGAGCCCCAGCAGGGCUGUGGGGCUGAACUGACUGCUACAGGCUGCCAGCUGAUCCGUGGGACAGGUCCCCAGAGCCACCUCCAGGAUCUGCAUUUGCCGCACAACCACAGCCAUGAGAUCAGAAAUUACACACAAAAGAGACACUGAAUUUGCUCAGGAAAACAACCGAAUGACAGGAGUGAUAGGGAGGCAAAGCUUUCUGGAGAGUGAUCCCAGACAACUCCAUAGAAUGGAUUUUCCUUAUUGCUAGUGCGUAAACAGGAAUUUACCAAGUGAAACACAAAUGGUCAGUGGCAUGUAAAAUUAUUUAUGCAAAGCUUCUGUGAAGAGUACAAAAGAGCCCAAGGAAGCAGCUGGACAACCAGGAUCUCCAGAGAAGGAUUUCAGGUUGUCAGUAGGUAUUCUCUGAAUCCAUGGGGAAAGCACUGAAAAGAGCCCAUAGGGGUUUCCCUGGCAUCACUCCUUUGCACAGCAAACCAAAUGCACAAAUUCAGGGGAAAAUGCCCACAGUGAACCAAAGUAGAAAACAUAUUAAUUACAAACACAGAGAUGCAGAGGUGAAUUUUGUUCAUUACUCUUUUUCUGCCCUUAUCAGUGACUCAGCUGAGCAAAUGUCUCCAUCUCUGCCCAGGUUUUUAAGUGGCCUUUAGGCCCCUCAAUAACCCAUAAAUAAGAACUGGGUGCGUCACCUCAGCCAGGAUGUGCUGCUGAUGGCCCAAGGGAAACGACUCAGAGACUGAAACAAGGCUGGGAUUUAACUGAGACAGGAACUAUGCACGAUCAUAUUAUUGUUCCCCUGUCUUUUGGUGAUGCUUCACUUUACAGCUGUGCUGAUCAGCCAAAGCAUUCCUUAUCUGGGGCAGGAGAACUAAGGCAAGAUACAUGCAGAAGGGAGGAACUCUUCUGAUUACUGCAGAGGAAAUUAAUCCUGCUGGAAAAAAAACUGUAAUGGGGCUUAAAACUUCUGCAAGAUGCCCAGGAGUCCACUUCAGAGAUGUCAAACACAGGUCCUGUCACAUCCAUCCCAGUGAGUUUUGACAUAGAAUUUACUUGCUGUGAAGAAGAACAGAAGAUCCACUUUACCCCAAAUUCUCCUCUUGGACAGAAGAUCCACUUUACCCCAAAUUCUUCUCUUCUGCAUCAUGUUUACUUCUGAUGAUGCUGGAAUCAUUGUAGAGAGAAACCUCUGCCAUUACCUAAAUGACCAAGCUUAUUUCAAUACUUUCUAAUGCUUGCCUAAUUUUUAAUGCCUCUUUUGGUUUCUGCAGCUUUAGGAGGAGCACUCGGGUCACCCAAAGCAGCACAGGCAGCUGCAGCAGCUCCCUGUGUGUGCAGGUAUCAGUGUGCACCAAACACCCCGAGCCCACUGCAGCUGGAGCAUCAUUCCAGCAGCCCUGGGGCUGUGCCAGCUGCUGGAUCGUGCUCCCACUGGAAACUACCAGAGAACUCCCUUUUCCUCUCAGCAGGCUCUCUGUUUCCUUUUCAUAAUUCUCCUAAGCUCAUUAUCUCUGUUCCCUGCCACAGCGGCUUCCACAGGUGAAUCCAGCACUGUGGAAAACAUAUCUAAAAUGUGUCUGCUGUUGUUUUUUAUCAUGAGCACACUUCUUGGUUUUUUUUUUUUUUUUUUUUUUACAGCUUUCUACUCUCAGCUUUUAAUUUUGGAAAACAGCACAUAAAAGUACUCAGCGUGCCUAUUCUGUGCCAUUCAUUACCCCACAUCUCUCCAUCCUGCCUCUGCUUAUUCAUCUCUUGCCUUAACUAAGCAGGCCUAAUCUUUUAAAAUCUCUUCUAAUAUGAAAGCUUCUCAAUGCCUUUAAUCAUUUUCACUACCCUUCACUGAAUUCUUUCUUUUUUUCCCCUCUAUCAUUUCCAGAACUGAAACACAACAUUUAAGAUGAGGUUGCACCACUGAGUUGCAUAACAAAGGUAAUAACAGUUUGUCUGCUGGUCUCUUGUCUUUUUGAGCUCCUGCUGGUGAGAUUCAGCUCUUCAUUUCAGUGUCUCCCAGCACUGGAUGUCAUUGAAAAGCAGCUGCUGGCAGAGCUGCAAACACAGCCAGGAAAGCCCAGAAUGCAAACUGGAAAAUGAUGAGGAAGAACAAGAUUCAUUUCUUCCCCUACAUUUUGCAAAGCUGUUACCUGUUUCUGAAUGGCAUUUCCAAUUUGACUCUGGGAACUGCUAAAGCAUUUACAUAAGAAUGCAAAAAUGCACACAUUAUCACUGCAGGAAGCACUUAAAAUUUAAGAUAAUUAUAUAGUAUGGAACCCAUUUCAAAGGACUCAAACAAAAUAACAACUAAUUCUAGAGAGUCACCCUUUAAGAUGAUUAUUACUCUGCACUGCCGCUCAUCUCCCACUAAAAAAAUCCUCCUCUUUACAAUUAUAUGCACAUGAUGAAUUCCCACUUUGUUCUUCCACCAUCAAGCUCCCACAGCUGCCACUGACAAAUCUGCAUUCUCCAAGAGCUUAAUGAGACAACCAAAACAUCCACACUAGGGAGAGAGGUGAAGCUGCCAGGGCCAGGCUGCCCUCCCUUCCUGGGGCUGCUGCAGCGCUGGGGACAGGGGGCACUCCUGGCAGAGCCUGCCCUUCUUCUGCUGUGCCAUGAGCAUUCCUGGCAGAGCCUGUCCUUCUUCUGCUGUGCCAUGAGCACUCCUGGCAGAGCCUGCCCUUCUUCUGCUGUGCCAUGAGCACUCCUGGCAGAGCCUGCCCUUCUUCUGGUGAGCCACAGACACUCCUGGCAGAGCCUGCCCUUCUUCUGGUGAGCCACAGGCACUCCUGGCAGAGCCUGCCCUUCCUCUGCUGUGCCACAGACACUCCUGGCAGAGCCUGCCCUUCUUCUGGUGAGCCACAGGCACUCCUGGCAGAGCCUGCCCUUCUUCUGGUGAGCCACAGACACUCCUGGCAGAGCCUGCCCUUCUUCUGCUGUGCCAUGAGCACUCCUGGCAGAGCCUGCCCUUCCUCCUCUGCUGUGCCAUGAGCAGCCGGAGCAGGGGUCCCAGAUCAGCUGAUCACACCAGAUCAGCAGCCUGGCUGACCCACAGGGACCUGCCUGACCCAGAGGAACCUGCCUGACCCACAGGGACCUGCCUGACCCACGGGGACCUGCCUGACCCACGGGGACCUGCCUGACCCACAGGGACCUGCCUGACCCACGGGGACCUGGCUGACCCACGGGGACCUGGCUGACCCACGGGGACCUGGCUGACCCACGGGGACCUGGCUGGGCACCUGGGGACCCCAAGCCCUCACCCUGCUGUUGGGCUUGUGGGAGGGCAGCAACCCGGGGUGCUGCUUCUCAUCCAUGCAAGGGAGCAGAAAGCAGGAGAAAAGCAUUUAGUCAGCUGCUUUCCAGACCAAAAAACCCCAUUUCGGCUGAGGAGAGCUGCCAUGGGAAGGGAGAAGCACGUUUGUGAGGUGGAACUGUUCUGCCCCAGCAGCCUCCCUCCACCUUCUGCUUCCACUCCCCACUGCUGCUCUCCUCUGCCUCACUGCUGCCAUUCUCUUGUCUUUUCCACAAGUGUCCCAGGGGAAAAAAAUAAAACAUUCCGCCUAGCUCUACUGCUGAAAGCAAACUCAUUUGGGGAAAAACCUACCUGCCAAAUCCUAAUAUGUUUUUAUUGGAUAUCUGCUAAGAGAGAUUUACAGAAGCUCAUGCCAAAGUCAAACUCUACUUUUUUUUUUCCCCCACAGCAAGGGCAAAAGUACCAACUGAACUCAGAGCAGAUGAAAACUUGUUGUCUAAGGUAUUAUGGAGACUUAACAAAGUCCCAUACCAAGUCUCUGACUUAAUGGACAAAUGAAGUGUUUUCCGAGUCUAAUUAUUGUAAAUAACUGCAGUGAAAAGAGCUGGAACUUUCCCACAAAUUUCAGCCUGAGAAAGAAAAGGGAUAUAUUUAAAACCUUGUAUUUGGAUACAGGACAGAGUAAACUAGAACAGAAUCUGGUAAUGGGAAGGGCAAUUCCCUCCCCUGGCAGACAGCAGUGAUCACACCUGUUAGGAUAAUGAAUGUUUGCACUCUGCUCUGAAGUGAGGGCUACCCAAUAAUAUCUGAGUGCAAUCACAUUUACAUAUUGAAGUGUGCACAGAGAUUCACCUUUCCUGCUCCCAGCAGCUGCAGUCAGUCUGAUGCAAGAAUGCAAAGGGCUGAAUUACUUCUGCCGACAGGAAAAUGAUUUCUGUAUUUUUAAAUAAUGUGAUUUAUGUAAAAAAAGGCUUAUAACCCAAGAAUUGAGUGAUGUAUAGACUAGUUCAUCAUUGGGGUUUAAAUAUGAUACCUCUAAAAUAUGCAUAUGUGUCAGUGAUUUACUAAUAACCUACUCUUACAGCACAGCACACAGAGAUGCAAAGCACAACAGGUUUAAACCCUUCAAACCCCCCCAUUUCCAUUCUCACUGCUAUAUAUAAAAAAAACUAUUUAAAUUAAGUUGGUUUUAUUACCCCUUUGUAAGUCUUAAUCCAUUACUGGGCUACCUUCUACCACAGCACAUAAAUAAAUCAGCCUUUCAUUGCCAGA
Molecule: long non-coding RNA, 7651 nt
Organism: Taeniopygia guttata (zebra finch)
Lineage: Eukaryota; Metazoa; Chordata; Aves; Passeriformes; Estrildidae
Source: RefSeq, a predicted model, not a curated record